Molecule: ribosomal RNA, 301 nt
Filed under: uncultured bacterium
Lineage: Bacteria
Description: partial 16S ribosomal RNA
Rfam family: Bacterial small subunit ribosomal RNA
Source: RNAcentral
CAGCCGCCGCGGUAAUACGGAGGGUGCAAGCGUUAAUCGGAAUUACUGGGCGUAAAGCGUGCGUAGGCGGUUUGUUAAGUCUGUUGUGAAAUCCCCGGGCUCAACCUGGGAAUGGCAAUGGAUACUGGCAAGCUAGAGUGUGUCAGAGGAUGGUGGAAUUCCCGGUGUAGCGGUGAAAUGCGUAGAGAUCGGGAGGAACAUCAGUGGCGAAGGCGGCCAUCUGGGACAACACUGACGCUGAGGCACGAAAGCGUGGGGAGCAAACAGGAUUAGAUACCCCAGUAGUCCCUGUCUCUUAUAC